UCUCUUCUCAAUUAUGAAGCAUCCAAUUAGGCGAGAAAUUGAAUCGUUUUGUUUGUCUGGGUUUCUUUUUUCCGUUUAAUUUCUUGUAAGCAUAAUGGGUUUGGAUUCGAAAACUGGCGGCGAAGUCGGAGCGGAUAGCUCUCUUCGGUCCAUCUGUUACAAGAAGGGCUCCUUGCGGCUGCUCGAUCAGAGGAAGCUCCCUUUGGAAUCUGUUUACCUGGACAUCAAGGAUGCAACAGAUGGACGGUGAUACUGCAAAUAAGAUUGGAACCUAUAGUCGAUUCCGUUCUUUGUGGCUACACCAUUGACUUCCAUAGACUUAUCCCUUUCUUCCGGAGAAGAAGUUGUUGUACUCUCGUGGAGGUCUCCCCGAGCAAGGCGCUGCGUUUGGCAUCGCUGUCUGGAACCCCGCUUUUGACAUUACUCUUGUUAGAAAUCAGGACUCUCCACAAUGGGAGUCAUCACGAAGGAAGAUUCUGAUUCUUUCGACGUAUAGGAGUUUGUUCGAAAGACAGCGGAGACGUCUACGUAGAGAACCGGCCUCCCUUGUGGACGACAUGCUAUUCUGCAGGUAUGCUUGAAAGAAAAAUGAACCAUAUAUCUUGAAUUUUGAGGCGAACUGCAUUAUUGUUCUUGUUUAUCAGAAUUUAUAGAUACAAGAAUGUAGUUGAUCAUAUCUUUGGCAAUUCAUGGCUCUCUUUCUGAAGGUCUAAUAACAGACCAAUCUG
Cucurbita moschata (crookneck pumpkin) is the source of this 728-nucleotide long non-coding RNA. RefSeq lists it as uncharacterized. NCBI's taxonomy places the organism in Eukaryota, Viridiplantae, Streptophyta, Magnoliopsida, Cucurbitales, Cucurbitaceae. The record is from RefSeq and is a predicted model, not a curated record. The transcript has 4 exons.